Molecule: long non-coding RNA, 327 nt
Organism: Magallana angulata
Lineage: Eukaryota; Metazoa; Mollusca; Bivalvia; Ostreida; Ostreidae
Exons: 3
Source: RefSeq, a predicted model, not a curated record
AUGCGACCCCUCGUUGUCAAACUUCGCAUUAUUGGGUGGCGAUUCGGAAGGGAAAGACACACAGGCUUAAUAGCUCAAUAAACGACAGCCCACCAUGUUCCUGCUAACAGGGUUAUUGUUCCUGGCAGUACUCGUCUCACUUGCUGUUGGACAAUUUUAUAUUAUGGGGGAUUCUCCAGACUUCCCCGACCCUCCGGACUACUUCUACGGCGGAGCCCCAUUCAUGCCCAGACCUUUCUUUGGCCGACCACCGCCUUUCAUCUACGGUUGAACAUCUAGGGAUUGGAGCACAAUGUAUAUUUUAAAAUAAACAAUCUAUACUUUUAA